This 484-nucleotide ribosomal RNA is filed under the name uncultured bacterium. Its description in RNAcentral is "partial 16S ribosomal RNA". It matches the Rfam family "Bacterial small subunit ribosomal RNA", at positions 30 to 507 of the family's 1533-position model. The record is from RNAcentral.
AUUGAACGCUGGCGGCAGGCCUAACACAUGCAAGUCGAGCGGCUGAAGGGAGCUUGCUCCUGGAUUCAGCGGCGGACGGGUGAGUAAUGCCUAGGAAUCUGCCUGGUAGCGGGGGAUAACGUCCGGACACGGGCGCUAAUACCGCAUUCGUCCUGAGGGAGAAAGUGGGGGAUCUUCGGACCUCACGCUAUCAGAUGAGCCUAGGUCGGAUUAGCUAGUUGGUGGGGUAAAGGCCUACCAAGGCGACGAUCCGUAACUGGUCUGAGAGGAUGAUCAGUCACACUGGAACUGAGACACGGUCCAGACUCCUACGGGAGGCAGCAGUGGGGAAUAUUGGACAAUGGGCGAAAGCCUGAUCCAGCCAUGCCGCGUGUGUGAAGAAGGUCUUCGGAUUGUAAAGCACUUUAAGUUGGGAAGAAGAGCAGUAAGUUAAUACCUUGCUGUUUUGACGUUACCAACAGAAUAAGCACCGGCUAACUUCGUG